RNAcentral lists this ribosomal RNA (553 nucleotides) under uncultured bacterium. RNAcentral describes it as "partial 16S ribosomal RNA". It matches the Rfam family "Bacterial small subunit ribosomal RNA", at positions 355 to 899 of the family's 1533-position model. The record is from RNAcentral.
UGGGGAAUAUUGCACAAUGGGCGCAAGCCUGAUGCAGCCAUGCCGCGUGUGUGAAGAAGGCCUUCGGGUUGUAAAGCACUUUGUCCGGAAAGAAAUCCUUGGCUCUAAUACAGUCGGGGAUGACGGUACCGGAAGAAUAAGCACCGGCUAACUACGUGCCAGCAGCCGCGGUAAUACGUAGGGUGCAAGCGUUAAUCGGAAUUACUGGGCGUAAAGCGUGCGCAGGCGGUUUGCUAAGACCGAUGUGAAAUCCCCGGGCUCAACCUGGGAACUGCAUUGGUGACUGGCAGGCUAGAGUAUGGCAGAGGGGGGUAGAAUUCCACGUGUAGCAGGUGAAAUGCGUAGAGAUGUGGAGGAAUACCGAUGGCGAAGGCAGCCCCCUGGGCCAAGUACUGACGCUCAUGCACGAAAGCGUGGGGAGCAAACAGGAUUAGAUACCCCUGGUAGUCCACGCCCUAAACGAUGUCAACUAGUUGUUGGGGAUUCAUUUCCUUAGUAACGUAGCUAACGCGUGAAGUUGACCGCCUGGGGGAGUACGGUCGCAAGAUUAAAA